UACAGAGGUCUCAAGCGUUGUUCGGAUUUAUUGGGCGUAAAGGGCGCGUAGGCGGCGGGGUAAGUCGGGUGUGAAAUCUCAGGGCUCAACCCUGAAACUGCACUUGAUACUGCUCUGCUUGAGGACUGGAGAGGAGACUGGAAUUCACGGUGUAGCAGUGAAAUGCGUAGAUAUCGUGAGGAAGACCAGUGGCGAAGGCGGGUCUCUGGACAGUUCCUGACGCUGAGGCGCGAAAGCAUGGGGAGCGAACAGG
RNAcentral lists this ribosomal RNA (253 nucleotides) under uncultured bacterium. RNAcentral describes it as "partial 16S ribosomal RNA". It matches the Rfam family "Bacterial small subunit ribosomal RNA", at positions 524 to 776 of the family's 1533-position model. The record is from RNAcentral.